This is a long non-coding RNA of Magnolia sinica, 967 nucleotides long. RefSeq lists it as uncharacterized. Lineage: Eukaryota; Viridiplantae; Streptophyta; Magnoliopsida; Magnoliales; Magnoliaceae. The record is from RefSeq and is a predicted model, not a curated record. The transcript is spliced from 2 exons.
UACUUGUGAUGCAGGACAAUUAACCACUCGCUCUAAAAGCUCGAACUGUUAGAGUAUGGCGAAUUAAUCCCUUUAUCUCAUAUCCCAGGCCCCACAUCUCAUGGGUUUUAGGACCUCGGCCGAACCCCCUUCGUGAGCCCCAAAUCACAUGGGCCGCCCACCCCGAGUGUUGUGCCCUGCAUCCCACAAGCGACCCCACUCGAGCCCAGUGUGAAAAUGCCCCUGCAUUAAUCACCCCCGGUGAGGAGUCUCGAACCCGAGACCUCCCGCUCUGAUACCAAUUUGAUGCAGGACAAUUAACCACUUGCUCUAAAAGCUCGAACUGUUAGAGUAUGGCGAAUUAAUCCAUUUAUCUCAUAUCUCAGGCCCCACAUCUCAUGGGUUUUAGGACCUCAGCCGAACCCCCUUCGUGGGCCCCAAAUCACAUGGGUCGCCCACCCCGAGUGUGUCCCCGCAUCCCACGGGCUACCCCACUCGAGCCCGGUGUGAAAUGCGCAUUAAUCACCCCUAGUGAGGAGUCUUGAACACGAGACCUCCUCCAUGGGCCGCACCCACCCCAAGUGUGCCCCUGCAUCCCACAAGCGACCCCACUCGAGCCCAGUGUGAAAAUGCCCCUGCAUUAAUUUGAUACAGGACAAUUAACCACUUGCUCUAAAAGCUCGAACUAUUAGAGUAUGGCGAAUUAAUCCCUUUAUCUCAUAUCCCAGGCCCCACAUCUCAUGGGUUUUAGGACCUCGGCCGAACCCCUUUCGUGGGCCCCAAAUCACAUGGGCCGCCCACACCGAGUGUGUCCCCGCAUCCCACAGGCUACCCCACUCGAGCCUAGUGUGAAAUGUGCAUUAAUCACCCCUGGUGAGGAGUCUCGAACACGAGACCUCCUCCAUGGGCCGCACCCACCCCAAGUGUGCCCCUGCAUCCCACAAGCGACCCCACUCGAGCCCAGUGUGAAAAUGCCCCUGCAUUAACU